AUACGGAGGGUGCAAGCGUUAAUCGGAAUUACUGGGCGUAAAGCGCGCGUAGGCGGUUUAGUAAGUCGGAUGUGAAAGCCCCGGGCUCAACCUGGGAAUUGCAUUCGAUACUGCUUGACUAGAGUAUGGUAGAGGGAAGUGGAAUUUCCGGUGUAGCGGUGAAAUGCGUAGAUAUCGGAAGGAACACCAGUGGCGAAGGCGGCUUUCUGGACCAAUACUGACACUGAGGCGCGAAAGCGUGGGGAGCAAACAGGAUUAGAAACCCCGGUAGUCC
RNAcentral lists this ribosomal RNA (274 nucleotides) under uncultured bacterium. Its description in RNAcentral is "partial 16S ribosomal RNA". It matches the Rfam family "Bacterial small subunit ribosomal RNA", at positions 523 to 796 of the family's 1533-position model. The record is from RNAcentral.